CCUACGGGUGGCAGCAGUGAGGAAUAUUGGUCAAUGGACGAGAGUCUGAACCAGCCAAGUAGCGUGAAGGAUGACUGCCCUACGGGUUGUAAACCUCUUUUAUAAAGGAAUAAAACGACGCACGUGUGCCUUUUUGCAUGUACUUUAUGAAUAAGGAUCGGCUAACUCCGUGCCCGCAGCCACGGUAAUACGGAGGAUCCGAGCGUUAUCCGGAUUUAUUGGGUUUAAAGGGAGCGUAGAUGGGUUGUUAAGUCAGUUGUGAAAGUUUGCGGCUCAACCGUAAAAUUGCAAUUGAUACUGGCAGUCUUGAGUACAGUUGAGGUAGGCGGAAUUCGUGGUGUAGCGGUGAAAUGCAUAGAUAUCACGCAGAACUCCGAUUGCGAAGGCAGCAUACCGGCGCCCAACUGACGCUGAAGCACGAAAGCGUGGGUAUCGAACAGGAUUAGAUACCCGGGUAGUC
Molecule: ribosomal RNA, 460 nt
Filed under: uncultured bacterium
Lineage: Bacteria
Description: partial 16S ribosomal RNA
Rfam family: Bacterial small subunit ribosomal RNA
Source: RNAcentral